CGGUGCCCGAGUCCCGCUGGUAGGGCUCGAUGUAGUGGCCGUCGUAGGAGGCGUCGGGGUCGCCGACGUGGUUCCAGCCGCGCGUGCUGAC
RNAcentral lists this transfer RNA (91 nucleotides) under Streptomyces sp. A012304. RNAcentral's name for it is "tRNA-His". The record is from RNAcentral. Lineage: Bacteria; Bacillati; Actinomycetota; Actinomycetes; Kitasatosporales; Streptomycetaceae.